AUACGUAGGGGGCGAGCGUUGUCCGGAAUGAUUGGGCGUAAAGGGCGCGUAGGCGGCCGCUUAAGUCUGGAGUGAAAGUCCUGUUUUCAAGAUGGGAAUUGCUUUGGAUACUGGGGGGCUUGAGUGCAGGAGAGGUUAUCGGAAUUCCCGGUGUAGCGGUGAAAUGCGUAGAGAUCGGGAGGAACACCAGUGGCGAAGGCGGGUAACUGGACUGCAACUGACGCGGAGGCGCGAAAGCGUGGGGAGCAAACAGGAUUAGAUACCCUGGUAGUCCACGCUGUAAACGAUGAGUACUAGGUGUUGCGGGUAUUGACCCCUGCAGUGCCGUAGCUAACGCAUUAAGUACUCCGCCUGGGAAGUACGGUCGCAAGACUAAAACUCAAAGGAAUUGACGGGG
This 397-nucleotide ribosomal RNA is filed under the name uncultured bacterium. RNAcentral's name for it is "partial 16S ribosomal RNA". It matches the Rfam family "Bacterial small subunit ribosomal RNA", at positions 523 to 918 of the family's 1533-position model. The record is from RNAcentral.